This 284-nucleotide long non-coding RNA is filed under the name Gossypium raimondii (Peruvian cotton). RNAcentral describes it as "long non-coding RNA (GRAI_LNC007192)". Lineage: Eukaryota; Viridiplantae; Streptophyta; Magnoliopsida; Malvales; Malvaceae. The record is from RNAcentral.
CUGGUUCUGACAUUCUCUAUGCCUCUUUUGGCUUAUUGGACACUUGCUUGCGGAGCACGCAUUCCUUUCCGAUCCUUAGAUUGACUCUCUCAAUGAACCUCGCACCUGCUAAUUAUGAGUGGAGAUCUCUUGUAGGGCUUGUAAUCCCUUUCGCGGACAUAGCUCACGACCUCGCCCCUGCGAGGCUUACGCAAGCUCUCAUUACGAGCUUCUAGUGCGAGCUAUCUUUGCGAACAUCUAGCAUUCCCACGAAGUCCUCAGCUGACUAUGCUUGUAGACAAACA